RNAcentral lists this ribosomal RNA (422 nucleotides) under Alkalihalophilus pseudofirmus. RNAcentral's name for it is "bacterial LSU rRNA". It matches the Rfam family "Bacterial large subunit ribosomal RNA", at positions 2507 to 2925 of the family's 2925-position model. Lineage: Bacteria; Bacillati; Bacillota; Bacilli; Caryophanales; Bacillaceae. The record is from RNAcentral.
GACGGGGAGGUUUGGCACCUCGAUGUCGGCUCAUCGCAUCCUGGGGCUGAAGUAGGUCCCAAGGGUUGGGCUGUUCGCCCAUUAAAGCGGUACGCGAGCUGGGUUCAGAACGUCGUGAGACAGUUCGGUCCCUAUCCGUCGUGGGCGUAGGAAAUUUGAGAGGAGCUGUCCUUAGUACGAGAGGACCGGGAUGGACACACCGCUGGUGUACCAGUUGUUCCGCCAGGAGCAUAGCUGGGUAGCUACGUGUGGACGGGAUAAGCGCUGAAAGCAUCUAAGCGUGAAGCCCCCCUCRAGAUGAGAUUUCCCAUUACGUUAAGUAAGUAAGACCCCUUAGAGAUGAUGAGGUUGAUAGGUCUCGGGUGGAAGCGUGGCGACACGUGGAGCUGAGAGAUACUAAUCGGUCGAGGGCUUAUCCAAAA